Peromyscus eremicus (cactus mouse) is the source of this 534-nucleotide long non-coding RNA. RefSeq lists it as uncharacterized. The record is from RefSeq and is a predicted model, not a curated record. Lineage: Eukaryota; Metazoa; Chordata; Mammalia; Rodentia; Cricetidae. The transcript has 4 exons.
GGCCCAGGCGCAGAAGAUCGGAAGUUCAAACCGGAAACUCAGCAGAGGAGAAUUAGCCAAUUUACAGAAAUCAUAUUAGAGCGAUUUAGAAUUUCAAAAAAAGCUUUCCGCAGGCUUCUGGAGAGGAAUGGUCUACUGGACACAGGAGACUGAAUGCAGGGGCUUGUGCAUGCCCCGACAAGUACUUCACACCCCUGACCUAAAUUCCCAGCCUUCUUUUUGUGGGAAAGGGGCUUACCAUGUUGUCCAGGUGGGUCUUGAAUUCUCUCUGUAGCCCAGUCUUUGCUGUUGUGUUGAAACUCCAAAGUGCUGACUCAGUCCCCGUUUCACUAGAUCUUUAGGCUUAAGCACAAGAAAGGGAUGAUAAGGGCUGUCUUCAGGAGGGGAUGGGCCAGGAAAGGAAUAGUCAGAAUGACUGAGGCACAUAAGUGAUUUUCCUCUGCCCUGAAGUUUCAUGAGAUCACAAUCAUCUUGGUCCAUCCAUGCAUGGCAUGAUGUCAGACACAGCAAAAUAAACACAUGGAAUUUCAAAAA